Molecule: ribosomal RNA, 846 nt
Filed under: Globorotalia inflata
Lineage: Eukaryota; Foraminifera; Rotaliida; Globorotaliidae
Description: bacterial SSU rRNA
Rfam family: Eukaryotic small subunit ribosomal RNA
Source: RNAcentral
AAGGGCACCACAAGAACGCGUGGAGCAUGUGGCUUAAUUUGACUCAACGCGGGAAAUCUUACCGGGUCCGGACACACUGAGGAUUGACAGGCAAUAUAUUAGCAUAAAGACUCGUCUUUAGCGCUAAUUGUUAAAUAUGCUAGUCCUUUCAUGAUUAUGUGAUAGGUGGUGCAUGGCCGUUCUUAGUUCGUGGAGUGAUCUGUCUGCUUAAUUGCGUUUCACUAAGGGCCCAUAAAUUCAAGGUAUGUUAGCAAAUGCUGCUCUAUUGACCCCUAAUAGGCUUAACUGUCUUUAGCGCGUGUCUCUACGAGUUCUUUAAAGCACUGCGCAUGCUGUUGGGUCCUGAAAGCAACGAACGUGACCGCAACGUCUUGUUGCCUCUCUAUAAUACCUUCUUAUUUUUAAUAAGAGUAUUUACCUGAGGCUAUUUUAAAACUAGACGGACCGCUGUUUCUUUCUUAAACCAGAGGAAGGUUGCGGCAAUAACAGGUCUGUGAUGCCCUUAGAUGUUCCGGGCUGCACACGUGCUACAAUGAUCAGUACAGUGAGCAUCUCAAUUUUAUAACACCGUAUUAAGCGCUUGGGUCGUAAUUGUUAGGCCUUUUAGGUUUUUUCAAUUGCGUUUCUCCAAUGCGCACGGUAAAGCCUGCUUCGAGAGUAAGUGGGUAAUCCAUUGGAAGUAAUGAUUUCCUUAUUUUUAUAAACAGCACACCAAUAUACGGCAUUCAUUCCCGAGACGGCUUAGUUCCGACUUUGUGCGAAUGUAUGUAUUCUUAUCCGUAUGUGCGAUUGUCAAUUCAUGGUGGGGACAGACCAUUGUUAAUUGUUGGUCUCGGUCUUACUAGG